UCAAAGCCCUCGUCGAAGCCCUCGUCGAAGCCCUCGUCAAACCCCUCAUCAAACCCCUCGUCAAAGUGUAAAGAAGACAUUUACACCUGCCUUUACUUCAGAUGUGUGUUCAAGUGAAGCUGAAUUUAUCGAAAUUCUAGAAAAGCUGAAAAGAUUCAGCAGUUCCCGAGCUACACCAAAUAGUUUGGAAAAACUGGAAGAGAUGGCUGGC
Molecule: long non-coding RNA, 211 nt
Organism: Haliotis rufescens (red abalone)
Lineage: Eukaryota; Metazoa; Mollusca; Gastropoda; Lepetellida; Haliotidae
Exons: 3
Source: RefSeq, a predicted model, not a curated record